Molecule: unclassified non-coding RNA, 460 nt
Filed under: Hevea brasiliensis (rubber tree)
Lineage: Eukaryota; Viridiplantae; Streptophyta; Magnoliopsida; Malpighiales; Euphorbiaceae
Source: RNAcentral
ACAUUUGGUUGUAAACUUCUUGCUUCAAGGUCCAUUUUGCGAAUCAAAGAUUCAGCUUCCUCCAGCCCAGUUCUAACUUCAGAAAGCUUUUGCUUCUUUUGCUCUCCAUCAAGAGCACCAGCUGCGGUACACUUUCUGGAAAGAUUAGAGGAGAGCUCGCAGUAUUGACGCUCGUAUCCUUCAAAUACUUCACUCAUUCUUCCAAUUUCUAAAUAAAAAAGGUCGAUCUAGAAACUUGUAAACGUUCAGUACCGAUGAUCCUCAAAUACAAACUAGAUCCUUGGAAAAACUAAUUGAAAUAGAAACUAAAUGUAUAUAAGAGAACCUGGUAUGAUCGGCGGUGGAGAUAGCUUGUGGGACCCCGCUAGGUGGAGGAGGGAGGUGGUAGGGGUGAUUUCGUGAAAUUCUAAAAGAGCAAACGACAGUGCCGGUGGUCGUGGGGGCAAGAGCAAGAGUGGUG